RNAcentral lists this non-coding RNA (26 nucleotides) under Mus musculus (house mouse). Lineage: Eukaryota; Metazoa; Chordata; Mammalia; Rodentia; Muridae. The record is from RNAcentral.
AGAAGCUUUGCGAUUUCAUGAGGUCC